Molecule: ribosomal RNA, 491 nt
Filed under: uncultured bacterium
Lineage: Bacteria
Description: partial 16S ribosomal RNA
Rfam family: Bacterial small subunit ribosomal RNA
Source: RNAcentral
GAUGAACGCUGGCUACAGGCUUAACACAUGCAAGUCGAGGGGAAACGCCGGGGAAGCUUGCUUCCCCGGGCGUCGACCGGCGCACGGGUGAGUAACGCGUAUCCAACCUGCCUCUGACUGAGGGAUAACCCGUCGAAAGUCGGCCUAAUACCUCAUGGUAUCGUCUGCGGGCAUCCAACGACGAUUAAAGAUUUCAUCGGUCAGGGAUGGGGAUGCGUCUGAUUAGCUUGUUGGCGGGGUAACGGCCCACCAAGGCUACGAUCAGUAGGGGUUCUGAGAGGAAGGUCCCCCACAUUGGAACUGAGACACGGUCCAAACUCCUACGGGAGGCAGCAGUGAGGAAUAUUGGUCAAUGGGCGAGAGCCUGAACCAGCCAAGUAGCGUGCAGGAAGACGGCCCUAGGGGUUGUAAACUGCUUUUAUGCGGGGAUAAAGUGAGGGACGUGUCCCUAAUUGCAGGUACCGCAUGAAUAAGGACCGGCUAAUUCCGUG